AAAUGUAAAAUCUAUUUUAAAAUAUUAACAAGCUGCUAUAAUAGUAUCUCAGUGAUGCUAAACUAACACUGGAGAUUGUUGCAGUGACUGAUCAGAAAACGCAGUGAUCACUAACGCUGGUGUGUCUGAACUGUUCUGGUGUGUGUGUGUGUGUGUGUGUGUGUGUGUGUGUGUUUCAGGCUGAAGGCAGCACUCAGAGCCCCAGACAGCGAUGCAAACCCGGCGCCGUCAUCGAGAGCCUCGUCAACCACGCGCCGGGAGUUUUCUCAGGAACCUUCUCAGGUACUUUACACCCUAACUGUCAGGACAGCAGCGUGCGUCCUCGCCGGGACGUCAGCACCAUCCUGCAGAUCCUCAACGACCUCUUGAGCGCCACGCGGCAUUGCCAGGGAUCUCCUCCGACGCUGACGCACCUCCACUGCCCUCCAGCCUCGCCCUGCUCACCUCCACCCUCACCUACCUCAGACCAGUGGCAGCCGCACGCACACCUGCGCAGACCCUCCGGAGAGCGUCUGCGGCAGACGGAGAAUAAGGCCAUGCGCUGUAAGGUGGAGCAGCUGCGGCUCUUACUGCAGCAGCGGCGUCUGCGACGGAAGGCCCGGAGAGACUCUCGCGGCCCGUAUCACUGGAUAACCCAACACAAGAACCUGGACCUGGACUACGAGGAGCCGGUCUGGAAGCCCGACGUGCCGUCAGACAUGAGCGCAGAGCUUGUCCUGGCUUGAGCUGCAGCUGGAGGACGAGUCUGGACACACACAUGGGCAUUAACGGCCGACUGGGGAACACUCGGGAGACGCUUUAUAGCGUUCACGGUCUGUUUGCAGUGGUUCUCCGCUCACUUCAUGGAUGUUACGAAACGCAGGAUGUAGCAUCAUUUCAUGUCAGGCGCUUGCAGGAUGUUUUGCACAGUUCAGUUCUCGCUCUCGUGAGCAUUAAAAUAUGUUUGACGCGUGUUUUAGAGGACAGACGUCUGUCUGAGAUUACAUUCAGACAGCUGGUUUAUGAAUCCUGGAUUUGGGCGAAUCUCCUGAAAACAGCUUCUAUUUCAC
Long non-coding RNA from Sinocyclocheilus anshuiensis, 1049 nucleotides. RefSeq lists it as uncharacterized. NCBI's taxonomy places the organism in Eukaryota, Metazoa, Chordata, Actinopteri, Cypriniformes, Cyprinidae. The transcript is spliced from 3 exons. The record is from RefSeq and is a predicted model, not a curated record.